This is a long non-coding RNA of Zingiber officinale, 1457 nucleotides long. RefSeq lists it as uncharacterized. The transcript has 5 exons. The record is from RefSeq and is a predicted model, not a curated record. Lineage: Eukaryota; Viridiplantae; Streptophyta; Magnoliopsida; Zingiberales; Zingiberaceae.
CUAAAAGCAAACACCCGAAACCACAAGUCACUGCACUUCUUCAUUCUGCUUUGAGGCCCCUAGGUUUCCCUUUCGGCUACCGUCGAAGGCGAAGGUCAAGACGAGAAAUCCCAACACAGGGUAGAAAAUGCGUGAUCGAUCUACUUCUUGUUUGAUCGAUUUGCUCGUUGUUGAUCGUAGAGCUGCAAUGUCAUCACCAGUGAGAGGAGCAAGAGGCUUUGGAGCUGGAGGGGAGCAGAUGGUGAUCCAUGUGCUGGCUAUGGACGAUAGCUCGGUCAACUGGGAAGUCAUCGCGUCGCUUCUCCGGAGUUCCAAGUAACAAGUCAAAGCUGUGGAUAGUGGGAAUAAAGCACUGGAGCUUUUGGGAAUGUAGGAACCAAAUGUGAGCAUGAUCAUUACUGAUUACUGGAUGCUAGAAAUGAUAUGAUACGAGCUGCUCAAGAGAAUCAAGAUGUUUGGAAGAAGGAGAAGAAGAUUUCUUGCUGAAGCCUGUGAGUCCAUCUGAUGUAUCUCGUUUGUCCAACUGGAUCAGAUAGCAGCCGGAGAAGGUAGAGGAGGAUGAAAGAUGAGUCUCCUGUCCACACAAUUCUCUUCAUCUUUGCUCUCAUCUAGAAAUGAAUUCAUUUCACGAGCAAGGAACUGUGAUCAUGGAUAUCCUCAUCAUCUUCCACGGAUCUCAUCUUGUGCUUUUAGAUUUAUAUUCUAAUUUGAGCGUGCUUCAUUACCUAUGAAAGUAUAGGUUAAUUUUUGGAUUUUUAGGUAGGAUUUCAUUUGAUUGUUUGUUUAUUUUACUAAAAGCAUUAAUUUGAUUUAGUUUCUGGAUUUUGCACCUAACUCCCUUGUGAUGAUAUGUGUAAUUAAAGUGAAGCACAAGUUAUAUUGCUAUGAUUCUCAUUGUCUGCAUUCGUAUUUAUAAGCAAUCAAUUGUUUGUUUUUUGAUGUUCCAUAGAUUUUUGUGUCAUUUAUUGUUUUCACUAUUUUUUUAUUGCAUUUAGAUUACCAUUAGGUAUUAUUGUGAAGCAAGAUUUUAGAAUGUUACCAUCUUAUCGCUUCCAAUAUCUUCUCCUUUUCAUCCUUUUGUCUAUUUUUGUUGUAGGAACUUUUUUGAUUUUCUUGAUGGAUUAGUAUGAUUCUAUGAAUCACUCAUCAGAACCUAGGCACGGACUUCUAAGAGAUCAAGUUGAUGCGGAAGGAUUGUAAUUGUUAUGAAGUUGUUCCAAUUCAAGGUCCAUUAUCAUUUGAAAAGAGCUUCUAUGUUGUACUGCAUGUAUGCUCUAAUUGUACGAAUACAGGCCAUACAAAUAUCUGGCUAGGAAAUGACACAAUGUCGCUGCAUCUCUCUUAGUGACCCUUUAAAGAUCUGGUCAGAUAGAAGGGCGACCAAUCUGUAGCGCUUAUCCUUAUAUUUCCACCUAGACAGGAUCCUAGUAAAAUACAGCUCAUUUAUUAUUUCUCAA